RNAcentral lists this ribosomal RNA (439 nucleotides) under uncultured bacterium. RNAcentral describes it as "partial 16S ribosomal RNA". It matches the Rfam family "Bacterial small subunit ribosomal RNA", at positions 339 to 795 of the family's 1533-position model. The record is from RNAcentral.
CUACGGGAUGCUCCAGUGGGGAAUCUUAGACAAUGGGCGCAAGCCUGAUCUAGCCAUGCCGCGUGAGUGACGAAGGCCUUAGGGUCGUAAAGCUCUUUCGCUGGGGAAGAUAAUGACGGUACCCAGUAAAGAAACCCCGGCUAACUCCGUGCCAGCAGCCGCGGUAAUACGGAGGGGGUUAGCGUUGUUCGGAAUUACUGGGCGUAAAGCGCGCGUAGGCGGAUCAGAAAGUUGGGGGUGAAAUCCCAGGGCUCAACCCUGGAACUGCCCUCAAAACUCCUGGUCUUGAGUUCGAGAGAGGUGAGUGGAAUUCCGAGUGUAGAGGUGAAAUUCGUAGAUAUUCGGAGGAACACCAGUGGCGAAGGCGGCUCACUGGCUCGAUACUGACGCUGAGGUGCGAAAGCGUGGGGAGCAAACAGGAUUAGAUACCCCAGUAGUC